This 252-nucleotide unclassified non-coding RNA is filed under the name Hevea brasiliensis (rubber tree). Lineage: Eukaryota; Viridiplantae; Streptophyta; Magnoliopsida; Malpighiales; Euphorbiaceae. The record is from RNAcentral.
GCAUUAUUAGCAUUCUCAUAUAUACAAUUUGCAUAUAAACUUAUCAUUAUUAUCACAAUUUUAAUAUCCUCCAUUCUCACACAACAUAAAAAUGCCAUUUCUUCUGAAAAAGAUUGGUUUUCAUAUUAAACCAUUUUGAUGGCAACAAAGAAAGAAAAAAAACUCCAUACAUCCACUCAAUUGAAUGUACGGCUAGUAGCGCUGUUGCUGUUAUGUGGGGUCCUUUGAAGGCUUACCAAUGAGAAGUAAGCU